This 505-nucleotide ribosomal RNA is filed under the name uncultured bacterium. Its description in RNAcentral is "partial 16S ribosomal RNA". It matches the Rfam family "Bacterial small subunit ribosomal RNA", at positions 28 to 507 of the family's 1533-position model. The record is from RNAcentral.
GACGAACGCUGGCGGCGUGCCUAAUACAUGCAAGUAGAGCGCACAGUGUAUACCUUAGCUUGCUACACGAUACACUGGGAGUUGCGAGCGGGUGAGUAACGCGUAGGUAACCUGCCUGGUAGCGGGGGAUAACUAUUGGUAACGAUAGCUAAUACCGCAUAAUAUUGAUUAUUGCAUGAUAAUUGAUUGAAAGAUGCUAUUGCAUCACUACCAGAUGGACCUGCGUUGUAUUAGCUAGUAGGUGAGGUAACGGCUCACCUAGGGGACGAUACAUAGGCGACCUGAGAGGGUGGUCGGCCACACUGGGACUGAGACACGGCCCCGACUCCUACGGGAGGCAGCAGUAGGGGAUCUUCGGCAAUGGACGAAAGUCUGACCGAGCAACGCCGCGUGAGUGAAGAAGGUUUUCGGAUCGUAAAGCUCUGUUGUAAGAGAAGAACGGGUGUGAGAGUGGAAAGUUCACACUGUGACGGUAUCUUACCAGAAAGGGACGGCUAACUACGUG